GGGUCCGUAGCUCAGUUGGUUAGAGCACCGGCCUUUUAAGCCGGGUGUCGUGGGUUCGAGCCCCACCGGACUCACCA
RNAcentral lists this transfer RNA (77 nucleotides) under candidate division WWE3 bacterium. Its description in RNAcentral is "tRNA-Lys". It matches the Rfam family "tRNA". From Rfam's summary of the family: Transfer RNA (tRNA) molecules are approximately 80 nucleotides in length. Their secondary structure includes four short double-helical elements and three loops (D, anti-codon, and T loops). Lineage: Bacteria; candidate division WWE3. The record is from RNAcentral.